This 69-nucleotide transfer RNA is filed under the name Dipodomys ordii (Ord's kangaroo rat). It matches the Rfam family "tRNA". Rfam says of the family: Transfer RNA (tRNA) molecules are approximately 80 nucleotides in length. Their secondary structure includes four short double-helical elements and three loops (D, anti-codon, and T loops). Lineage: Eukaryota; Metazoa; Chordata; Mammalia; Rodentia; Heteromyidae. The record is from Rfam by way of RNAcentral.
GGGAAUGUGGCUCAGUUGGAAGAGUGCUUGCCUUGAAUGCAUGAGGUCCUGGGUUCAAUUUCAGCCCCA